RNAcentral lists this long non-coding RNA (1251 nucleotides) under Manihot esculenta (cassava). Its description in RNAcentral is "long non-coding RNA (MESC_LNC003710)". The record is from RNAcentral. Lineage: Eukaryota; Viridiplantae; Streptophyta; Magnoliopsida; Malpighiales; Euphorbiaceae.
GUCCUAACUGUGCUAACUCAGUUUCAUAUUUAAACUCCGAUCGUUGGCUUUUGAUAUGUUCGCCCGCCCGCCCUCCCUCCACGUAGAUUGUUCUCUCGAGACACCUGGAUCGCCUUCAACAGGUAACUCCCCCUUCCGGUAUUUUCCUUUUUAACCGUUGGCCGUUUCAUUUCAAAUAAUACAAUAAUUAAAUUCACUAUAUUGCCAACUACUAGUUUUUAAAGAAUAAAGGAUGUACUUGUUUUGUUAGGUCACAUUUACACAGAAUUUUAAAAUCAAUUUUAUUUUAAAUAUUAAUUACAACAAUAUAUUAGUUCUUUAUCUAAUUAUUUAAUUAAUAUAUUAAAAUAAUAUAAUUUUAAUAGUAACAAUAAACAAAAUAUCUAAAAAUAUUUUUUAAUUAUCAUUUUUUUAAAACAUAUUAUAACAUCACAUCUCCUUAUAAAUAAAUACAUAUAAAAAAAUAUUUAUAAAAAUAUUAGCAGUUUAAAUUAAAUGACAAAUAAAAAAAAAAUUAAUGAUGGCGUUAAUAAAAUUGAAAUAAUACCAUAGUUAAAAACUAGAUUUAUUUAAAUUAUGCUUUUCUCGUUGUAUAAUUUUUAUUUAUUUUAUUUUUUAUAUAUAAAUAAUACUUUUUUAUUAAUUUAUUAAUUAUAUUUAUUUAAAAAUAUUAAAUUUUACUAAAUAUUAAAAAAUAUUUUAAAAAUAAGAAAUUAAUAAUAGUUUAUUAUAAUAUAAAAAAUAAAUAAUAAUUUAAAAAUAAUAAAAAAUAAAUAAAAAUUAUGCUAUAUUUUUUUUAAAAAAAAUUAUUUUUAAACUAUCAUUUUAAAGGUUUUAAAAAAAAUUAUUUAUAAAAAUUUAAGUUUGUGAAUUAUAUUUAUUUAAAUUUUUAAUUAUAUUUUAAAGAUAAAUUUACAUAAAAAUAAAAUUAAAUAAUUUUUUAUUCAGUUAUAUAAUUGAUAUAAUCCUUUAAAAAUUUUAUUAUUUAAUAUUCGAUAUGAAAAUAUUAAUUAAUUGAUUUUUUAAAAAUUUAAAGGGUAAACUAAUAAAUUUUUUAAAAUUUUAAAAAUUAAAUAUUUAAUAAUUAAAAUUAAUAAAAUAAUUAAUUAAUAAAAUUUUUUAAAUUGCUGUAGCUGAAAGGGAGAAAUGAACAAGGGGAUUAGAUAUGAACCUGCCAGGUGGAGAUGAUCUUAGCCAUGUGGCGGACGAUGAGUCAUAGUCAAGCGAGGCCCGGGUACAUAUGUUGAAGCC